Tachyglossus aculeatus (Australian echidna) is the source of this 138-nucleotide small nucleolar RNA. NCBI's taxonomy places the organism in Eukaryota, Metazoa, Chordata, Mammalia, Monotremata, Tachyglossidae. The record is from RefSeq and is a predicted model, not a curated record.
GCCCUCUCAGAGUCGCACCUGGAGAGUUUCCAGUACUCUACCAGUCUCGAUUAUGGGAGGGAGAGUCAAGCAGAAACAUACCUAUUCCAUUCUUAACUUGGAUAGUGGCUAGCGAGUGGAAGGCAAACUGGUACAAGU